This is a long non-coding RNA of Drosophila ficusphila, 540 nucleotides long. RefSeq lists it as uncharacterized. The transcript has 2 exons. Lineage: Eukaryota; Metazoa; Arthropoda; Insecta; Diptera; Drosophilidae. The record is from RefSeq and is a predicted model, not a curated record.
AAUAUGACCAUAAGUUACAACGAAGUUGUGACUAAUUAUUGUCUUUGUCUUUGUGAUGCACGGUCACAUCAGCAUAAAAUUUCGUGCAAAAAGUGUAAAAAGUGAAAAAAAGUUGUGUUAAUCUUAAAAAACAAGAUAAAGGUAAGUUAUAACAUAAAUAUUUUUGUUUGUAUUUCCUUAUUUCAGCGUUACGGAUAUGGUGAGCAUAGGCAUUUUUACUAAAACUAAAUAUAAGCCGCCAGAGGCGGUUGUCAAGUAGGUAAGUUUUUUAUUUAAAUUUAUUUUUCAGUUUUUCAAGAACAAACAAUGUUUUUUCUAGAAUUUGUAAUAGAUUCGACUUCAAAGAUUCUGGCCCUUGUGUUAAUAUUAACGGCAAAACUGAACGUGCGCAAGCGGACAUUCCGAUUUCGUCAUAUGAAGAACUCGGCCAUUUGGACUCCGAUGCCGAAGCCAAUCCAGAAGCAUUUAGUCACUCAGAAACGACAAUUACAGUCUUACCCAAUAUCAAGAUGAUCUGCGUUCACCGUUCACUAAGGCAAA